This 624-nucleotide ribosomal RNA is filed under the name Vibrio furnissii CIP 102972. Its description in RNAcentral is "bacterial SSU rRNA". It matches the Rfam family "Bacterial small subunit ribosomal RNA", at positions 8 to 611 of the family's 1533-position model. The record is from RNAcentral. Lineage: Bacteria; Pseudomonadati; Pseudomonadota; Gammaproteobacteria; Vibrionales; Vibrionaceae.
AGAGUUUGAUCAUGGCUCAGAUUGAACGCUGGCGGCAGGCCUAACACAUGCAAGUCGAGCGGCAGCGACAACAUUGAACCUUCGGGGGAUUUGUUGGGCGGCGAGCGGCGGACGGGUGAGUAAUGCCUGGGAAAUUGCCCUGAUGUGGGGGAUAACCAUUGGAAACGAUGGCUAAUACCGCAUGAUAGCUUCGGCUCAAAGAGGGGGACCUUCGGGCCUCUCGCGUCAGGAUAUGCCCAGGUGGGAUUAGCUAGUUGGUGAGGUAAGGGCUCACCAAGGCGACGAUCCCUAGCUGGUCUGAGAGGAUGAUCAGCCACACUGGAACUGAGACACGGUCCAGACUCCUACGGGAGGCAGCAGUGGGGAAUAUUGCACAAUGGGCGCAAGCCUGAUGCAGCCAUGCCGCGUGUAUGAAGAAGGCCUUCGGGUUGUAAAGUACUUUCAGCAGUGAGGAAGGGGAUAUCGUUAAUAGCGGUAUUCUUUGACGUUAGCUGCAGAAGAAGCACCGGCUAACUCCGUGCCAGCAGCCGCGGUAAUACGGAGGGUGCGAGCGUUAAUCGGAAUUACUGGGCGUAAAGCGCAUGCAGGUGGUUUGUUAAGUCAGAUGUGAAAGCCCGGGGCUCA